GAUGAACGCUGGCGGCGCGCCUAACACAUGCAAGUCGAACGGUUAAGGCGCCUUCGGGCGCGAAUAAAGUGGCGAACGGCUGAGCAACACGUGGGCAACCUGCCCCUCGCACCGGGACAGCCUCGGGAAACCGUGGUUAAUACCGGAUACUCCGCGCCCCCCCGCAUGGGGGGAGCGGGAAAGCCCAGACGGCGAGGGAUGGGCCCGCGGCCUGUUAGCUAGUUGGUGGGGCAACGGCCCACCAAGGCAAUGAUGGGUAGCCGGGUUGAGAGACCGACCGGCCAGAUUGGGACUGAGACACGGCCCAG
RNAcentral lists this ribosomal RNA (308 nucleotides) under uncultured bacterium. Its description in RNAcentral is "bacterial SSU rRNA". It matches the Rfam family "Bacterial small subunit ribosomal RNA", at positions 28 to 334 of the family's 1533-position model. The record is from RNAcentral.